This 253-nucleotide ribosomal RNA is filed under the name uncultured bacterium. RNAcentral describes it as "partial 16S ribosomal RNA". It matches the Rfam family "Bacterial small subunit ribosomal RNA", at positions 524 to 776 of the family's 1533-position model. The record is from RNAcentral.
UACGUAGGGGGCAAGCGUUGUCCGGAUUUAUUGGGCGUAAAGAGCGUGUAGGCGGCUUUACAGGUCCGUUGUGAAAACUCGAGGCUCAACCUCGAGACGCCGGUGGAAACCGUAAAGCUAGAGUCCGGAAGAGGAGAGUGGAAUUCCUGGUGUAGCGGUGAAAUGCGCAGAUAUCAGGAGGAACACCCGUGGCGAAGGCGGGUCUCUGGGCUGAUACUGACGCUGAGGAGCGAAAGCGUGGGGAGCGAACAGG